GUGAAUCAUCGAAUUUUUGAACGCAAAUUGCACUCUCUUCGGAGAGUAUGCCUGUUUGAGGGUCAGUAUUAAUAAAAAUAGGUGUGUUGCUUCUUUUUGACGUUCCGUAGGUUUGGUCAUCUUAAUAUCUUUUAGGUUGUAAGUGGCUAAAAAUUGAAUUUUUUUGUGCAUUUUAGAUGGACAUAAAUACUUUUUUUUAUUCUUCUGUUUUAAUGCUCAAAAUCCUAUUAGAUUCGACCAUAGCGUGUGG
RNAcentral lists this unclassified non-coding RNA (250 nucleotides) under Glomeraceae sp. RNAcentral's name for it is "partial contains 5.8S ribosomal RNA and internal transcribed spacer 2". The stretch from base 1 to 65 matches the Rfam family "5.8S ribosomal RNA", at positions 84 to 154 of the family's 154-position model. Lineage: Eukaryota; Fungi; Glomeromycota; Glomeromycetes; Glomerales; Glomeraceae. The record is from RNAcentral.